Sorex araneus (European shrew) is the source of this 1357-nucleotide long non-coding RNA. RefSeq lists it as uncharacterized. Lineage: Eukaryota; Metazoa; Chordata; Mammalia; Eulipotyphla; Soricidae. The record is from RefSeq and is a predicted model, not a curated record. The transcript is spliced from 3 exons.
AAGGAAAAAAAAAAGUCUCCGCGCCCCGCGCGCGCGCCGGCGCUCCGAGAGGCAACGGCGGGAGAAUUGUGCGUGGCGGGGCCGCUGCCCGGGAGCGGGUCCACGCCGCGGGGGGAGGGGGCGCGACCCCGGGCGGAGGGUCCCCAGAAGCGCAGCGCCCCGCCGGGGAGUGCAUUCAGGGGGUGGAUGCCAAGCGCGGCGGCGGGUUUUUUUGGCUUUUUUUUUUUUUUCAAAACAAAUCAAGACAUUGGAGGCAAAUGCUACUUAAGGAUGAACUUUUAUCGGGCUCCUUUUGGCGUCUCCUGAAAUUCCGGCUUCUAAUGCGGGAGACGCUGCACGUCAAACAGGCGAUCGCUUUCCCACCCCCUGGGAAAUUGACAGCAGGCGCUGCACCCGGCUCCAGAGCCCGGUGUUGGGACUUGGAGUCCGGGCGAGGGUGGUUUGAGGGUGUUGUUUUGCGGCUCCAGGGAUCUAACCCGGGGCCUUGCUCGUCCUGCAAGGCAAGUGCAUGCUAUGCUUUAAACUGCAUACAUUCCCUGAAGCGGGGCUUCUUGUUGUUUUAAUCUGAAAUUUACCUACCAGUAUUUCACUUUUGUUGUAAUUAAUUAAGGGAAGGGAAUAAUUAACAUCGGAUACUAAUCCGGGGUUGGGGGCAAAGCUAAAAACCUAGUUUUGAAACGGUAAAGCCAAAAAAUAAAAUAAAUAAAAUUGUAAAGUCCGUUCUUGAGAUGUAGCUCAUUUUAGUUUUGCAACCCAGAGAAAAUGCUGUUUGAACAUACAUAUGGGUUCACACUUAUUUUGUUCAUAAUUAUAAAGUUGAGUCACAUAAAGAUCUUUAGUACCCUGCCAAAUAGAAAAAAAAAAGGGAGUUGUGGAAGGAAAAUUAUCAGAAGACAUUUAGAAGGACGUGAUAGAUUAACAUUCGAAAUCUGUCACCCAAAGGAAAUGAGUAUUCAGCAGGCUCUCUGCAGAGGAGUAUUUUAAACAUCAGAAACGGGAGUGAAGCCUCAAAAACCAGAUUAUGAGGUGAAGUGAGGAAUGAACUAGAGGAAAGAGUUGUCAUCUAUUCUCUAGAGACCUGGCAACGAGAGGAGGAGAAAGGCAAAGUUGGAGCAAUUCAGAUGGUGGGGCACUCCUGGUUCUGUGCUUGAAGACUGCUCAAGGAAGUAUGUGAUGCCAGGGGUUGAACUGGGGUCAUCAACAUCUAAGGCUUAACCUUAACCCCUAAGCUAUCUCUGGAACCAAGAGAGGAAGUGUUAUAAACUAUUACUUCUGAUUCAAGGAAGGGCAUUUUUUCCUUCUGAAACUUAAGACCAGAUUUCUCUUUAUCAUCAUCUAAUAAAUUAAUGUGAGUGAA